UGACGAGGUACCGACUAUUUCACUAGCUGAUCUUUUCACAUGAAUUGAGUUACAGAGUUGAGUUGCUGUUGAUUCUUUCUUGUGUUUUUGAGGGCCAGACUAAUUUAGAUUUAGACUAAUUUAGAGUUAAUCCAUACCGCAUCCAACACCAAUCCAAUCCAAACAUAUUACACAUUUUUUGUCCUGUUUUGCAGGACCGAGGAUCCCAAAAAGCACCAUGAUCCGAAACAUCUCCACCGCCACAUUCCAGACUCCGGACGGCUCCGCGGAGACGAACUUCACCGCGACCCAACACCCGUGCGUGGACCACGGGGCGCUGCAGAGCCUGCUGGCGGUGCUCUACACCGUCAUCUUCGUCCUGGGGCUGGUCGGGAACCUGCUGGCUCUGCUGGUCUUCUUCGGCGUUCACGCCAAGAAGAACUCGGUGCGGGUGUUCCUCAUAAACAUCGCGUUUGCCGACCUGCUGCUGGUGGUGUGUCUGCCCUUCAGGGUACUCUACCACAGCCGGGGCAACAACUGGACCCUGGGUCCCACCUUGUGCAAAGUGGUGGGCAACCUCUUCUACAUGAACAUGUAUAUCAGCGUCACGCUGCUGGGCUUCAUCAGCGUGGACCGCUACCUGAAGAUCCACCGGGGCGCCGGGGCGCAGCACAGGCUGCGCUCCACCAGGUGGAGCAAUGCCAUCUGUGCGCUGGUCUGGGCCGUGGCCUUCGCUCUGACUUCGGUGCUGCUGAUGUCCAAGAACCACGCGCAGGAGGACAGGUGUUUCCACUACAAGGUGCUCCAGAAAGCAAAGUGGAAGGCCUACAUCAACGUGUCCUUGCUGGUGGUCUUCUGGCUCGUCUUCAUCGCUCUGGUGGCGUCUUACGGGAAGAUCGCGCUCAAGCUUCAGAGGACGUCCCGGCAGAGGCCGGACCUGCCCAACGCCUCGCGCUACAGCCGCACCGCCCGCAAGUCCUUCUUCAUCCUCUUCCUCUUCACCGUCUGCUUCGUCCCGUACCACGUGGUCAGGGUGUUCUACAUAAGGACCCAGAUCACGGACACGUCCUGUUUCUGGCGGGGCGUGGCCGACAAAGCCAACGAGGUGGCCCUGCUGUUUUCAGCCCUCAACAGCUGCCUGGACCCCGUCAUGUACUUCCUGCUGUCCUCCUCGAUGAGGAAGGAGGUGCUGCGCUUGGCCGGCGGCAUGCUCUGCGUGCGAGACGUGGGCGCGGUCAGCGGGAGCACCUCCAGCGUGGAGCCGGACGGGAGGGGCGGGAGGUCGGACAGGGGGGAGGCGAGCGUCAGCUUGAGGGAGAAGACGAGCAGCGAGUACAGGGCGGCUCCGAGUCAGUGAGCAAGCUGCCGAGGGAGCAGCCUCGUCCGCGGUGAACUUUAGAGCAGGUGGAUGAGGGCCAUCCGUCGUGGGCGCAGGCGGAAAACAUCAGCACGGCCGGUGCUUGUCGCGCUGCCGCUGCAGUUUUUUAAAUUGUAUUAUGCUUUAGUAGCGAUGUAGGUGGCAGAAAGCGCUUUGGAUUCAUUGGCUCCAGAAUUUUGAUUUGCACAUGAAUGCAGACUUCACCUCUGGAGUACACAUCUGGUUUUAUAAGAGGAAAAACAUGUGUUUCAAUGACAUUUCUUGUCAAAAUCUUCAAAUUCCUCUUUUGUCAAUGAACAAAAAUGUCAAACAGCCGCCAUCAUUUGGCACCAGAGAAUGUUCAUUAUGUUUUAUCUUGAUAAAAGACCAGUGAAUCUUUGGGGACAUUUUGUUUUCUAAGGAGUUCAUUACCACGUUUGCUUCGUAUUAAUGGAGCGUUACCAGAUUCAGGUUUUAAAAAGGGACACAUUUUCGCACUGCAUAUAGAACGUACUCAAAGCAUGUAUCACUGUGGUUAGUCAUGUCCGUCAAUAAAUAGCUCAAUAAGAUCGAUAAAUAUAGAUUCUACUGUGUGUCGAGAGGGUAAACUCCCUUCUUCCUUCCCAGCUAGAACUAGAGCAGCAGUGCCCCCACAAGGCAGAAUCAAACCACCGCCAGUGCAUUAAAAAACAAAAACAAAUUCAAUGCUAUACCUAAUGUAUGCAUUAAAAAAGGGACAAAUUCAAUGCUAUACCUAAUGUAAAAAUGAAGUAUCAAACCUAGAAGAACUGCUUCCUUAAUAAUAAACAUUUGAUAGAGCAUCGUGCGUGCACUUUACACACACUACAUACGUGUCAGCAUCAUGUAGCGAGGAAGUAGAAAAUAAAUAUAGGCACCGAACUCUCACCCAAACAUUCACGCAACACUUUCUGAUAAACUUCUGUUUAUUUUAAAAAGCAGGAAGUAACAGAAAGGCAUUGCCCCUCAUCUCGGAUUCUGGAGAGUUGACUUGAGUUUCUCAAACGGUUUGCUGAUGUCUUUGAAUGACAGCUACGGCUGGGCGGUAAGUUCUGACGCCAACGGCAUCGGGAUGCUACGACGCGGCCUCUCAUUUGCCGAUUGCUUAUAAUAACAUCAAGAAACUAAACUAAAUGGAUCGUUAUUCUCACAUUUGAGGUUCAUUGUGUUGCUUGAGGAGGUUCUACGAAUUAUUCAUGUAAAUCUGCUUUACCAACUGUGCUUAGUUGAGUAAAAACUAUGUUGAGUCUUAUUUCUGCUCGUUUGUGCAGACUUGCACAAACACAUUUUUAGACAAUGACCGUGGUGGUAUUUUGAAAUAAAUGUACGAGCCAUUUGUGUCACAACCCGUUGUGUAAAUCUAUCGCGAUCCAAUCAAACUUAGAGAAAAUGACCUGCUGACCUUUCACAUCAGUUUCUCCUCGCUCUUAGUCAUCUUCUUCAGGUCAAAUGGAGAACACGCUGCACACUCCUCCACCGGAUAACGCUUCCCUCCCCUCCCGGGCCCUCUCCCUCUGCCCCACCGCCGUCACCCUCGUCUUCCUCCCCUCCGCCUACGCCCUCCUCUUCCUCACCGCCCUGCCGGGCAACGCGCUGUCUCUGUGGGUGUUCCAGCGGCGCAUCGCCACCGCGUCCCCCAUCCACGUCUACCUGUCCCACCUGAGCGUCUCCAACCUGAUGCUGGCCCUCACCGCGCCCUUCCACGCGGCCUACUUCGCCCGGAGCCCGGCCUGGGCGCUGGGGGGCCCCGAGUGUCAGCUGGUUUUGCACGCCGUCAAUCCGGUGUUUCACGUCAACGUCGGCAUGGCGAUCCUCACUUGGUUGGCGCUCAGCCGCUUCGCCGCGCUCGUCCAGCACACCCACGCCUCCCGGCGGAGCGCCUGCGCCGCCCUGCUGCCGCGCGGCUUCUUCGCCCGCCUCACGAGGGCCUCCUUCGCCGGCAGGGUGUGCGCCGGCGUGUGGGCGGCGGCGGUCGCGGGCACGGUGCCGGCGGCGGUCUACUACUCGGUGAGGGCGGGCGUGAGGGGCGGCCCCCCCACCGGGCGGAUGCGUGGAGCUGUGCUACAGCCCGGAGGUGGAGAUCGGGGGCGCUCAGUCGGCGCGGGUGGCCGUGGCCGCCAUGACGCUGUUCUUCGUCUUCUACCUGCUGGUGCUGCUGUCCUACAUGGGCGUGCUGAAGCACAUCGGGCGCUCUCGCCGCAGCGCGAGGUGCAAGACCUCCCAGCGCCUGCUGGGCCGGGUGCUGCGCAACAUCGUGAUCCUCCAGGUGGGUUGUAAAACAAUACGUCUGUCGCAUUCAUCGCCAAAACUAACGCCGCUCGGGUCACACACAGGUCGUCCUCUCAGUCUGUUUGCUGCCGUACCACGUCUUCAAAGCGGUCUUGAUUUCUUGGGCGAUCAACGAGCGGCAGCAGACGUAUCCGUCGGGCCCCGACACCUGCGACCGCUGCCAUCCGCUGGCCACCUUCAUCGAGCUGAAGAACUGCCUGCUGCUUCUGGUCGCGUUGAGAUGCUCGACCGACCCCGUGAUGUACUUCCUGUUGGACGAGACCUUCCGUCAUCAGAGCCUCAGACUCCUGAGGUGCAAGCCGAACGGCGCCGAUGGCAGACCGGCGGAUUCGACGAGGGGAAGUGACGACCAGAGGGUCAGACACUUGGAACUGGAGGACGGAACUGUGGAUUCAACUCAAAGAACUGUCCUCUAGCCAGCAGAUCUUUCUUGGAAAUGAAGCCUGACUAGAUAACAGAUAAUGUGAGCUCAAAUGUCACAAAAAAAAAAAAAUCAUGAAAAAAGUCAUUUUCAGAUGUACAAGGAAAUGUUUGUAGAGCAGCCGCCAUGUGCAACAAGCUAUAAAUAUUUAAUAUCCAUAUGUGUGCUCAGCCUUGCUCAGUAAUUGUGUACAAAUUAUUGAGGGAGUACAGAAUGUGUUUGUUUUCAUACGGCACCGUCGUGUGAAGUGAGGCCCGGGAGAACCGGCAUGCCGCCACGCGACUCCAUAUACAUGAAUGCACAAAGGCCAGAUGAAAAACCCAGCACGCUUUAAAGGAAGAGACGAGAAUAAUGGAGUGAUGUGCGUGCGGCGCUGCUUGUGAAAACACUGAAGCUGGAGGGAUUCCAUUCUAGAAAAGGCCUUAUUUCUGUGACAGAAGGAGGUGGUUAGUAAAAAGUCUCCCAUAAUACGUUUUUUUUAAAUCUGUACCCAGAAGUUUUAACACCGAACAACACAGAACUGGAGGGUCAACGUCACGUCAAAUUCUCUCACCCAUCCGUCGACAAACUUUUAGCAACAUUUUUAGCUAAUUUGCUGAAGCCAAUUCUUUUUCUGAAAGACUGGGACUAUUAUUAAAAUAAUUCCCCCUGAUCGCUUGGCUUCAUUAGAUACCAGCGGCCCGCAUCAAAGACAGCGUGUGUGUGUGUGUGUGUGUGUGUGUGUCUGGGUGCAUUCUUGCAUUCAUUUGUUGUUGUGAGAAAGGUCUCCCCAGAGACGGCAUUAGUUCCACUGGUUGUCCACUGCGCGCACACACUGAGGAUUGUUUUUGUGUGUGUGUGUGUGUGUGUGUGUGUGUGUGUGUGUGUGUGUUCAGGCAGGACCCGAGCGAUCACUCUGAGGAGGUGUGAGGCUGUGCAUCUAAAAGUCACCCGUCCAUCUAUUAAAAAAAAACCAGUGAAGGAACCCGUC
Molecule: RNA transcript, 5034 nt
Organism: Pungitius pungitius (ninespine stickleback)
Lineage: Eukaryota; Metazoa; Chordata; Actinopteri; Perciformes; Gasterosteidae
Gene name: probable G-protein coupled receptor 34
Exons: 3
Source: RefSeq, a predicted model, not a curated record